RNAcentral lists this long non-coding RNA (200 nucleotides) under Elaeis guineensis (African oil palm). Its description in RNAcentral is "long non-coding RNA (EGUI_LNC030918)". Lineage: Eukaryota; Viridiplantae; Streptophyta; Magnoliopsida; Arecales; Arecaceae. The record is from RNAcentral.
AUCCUUAAUCCCGCAAUCAGGGCCUCAUAUUCCGCUCCAUUGUUUGUUGCGGGAAACCCGAAAUGCAGAGCGUACUCCGCAAUAACUCCCUCCGGGCUGACCAAGAUCAGGCCCGCACCCGCGCCUGCCAUGCUGGAGGAUCCGUCCACAUAGAGGGUCCAAAAGCAAUCAGAGAGACUGGCUUCUUCGUUAGGGGAGUU